Molecule: transfer RNA, 76 nt
Filed under: Streptomyces virginiae
Lineage: Bacteria; Bacillati; Actinomycetota; Actinomycetes; Kitasatosporales; Streptomycetaceae
Description: tRNA-Phe
Rfam family: tRNA
About the family: Transfer RNA (tRNA) molecules are approximately 80 nucleotides in length. Their secondary structure includes four short double-helical elements and three loops (D, anti-codon, and T loops). Further hydrogen bonds mediate the characteristic L-shaped molecular structure. tRNAs have two regions of fundamental functional importance: the anti-codon, which is responsible for specific mRNA codon recognition, and the 3' end, to which the tRNAs corresponding amino acid is attached (by aminoacyl-tRNA synthetases). tRNAs cope with the degeneracy of the genetic code in two manners: having more than one tRNA (with a specific anti-codon) for a particular amino acid; and 'wobble' base-pairing, i.e. permitting non-standard base-pairing at the 3rd anti-codon position.
Source: RNAcentral
GGCUGGGUAGCUCAGUUGGUACGAGCGAUCGCCUGAAAAGCGAUAGGUCGCCGGUUCGACCCGGCCCCAGCCACCA